Molecule: ribosomal RNA, 253 nt
Filed under: uncultured bacterium
Lineage: Bacteria
Description: partial 16S ribosomal RNA
Rfam family: Bacterial small subunit ribosomal RNA
Source: RNAcentral
UACGUAGGGUGCGAGCGUUAAUCGGAAUUACUGGGCGUAAAGCGUGCGUAGGCGGUUCGUUAAGUUCGUUGUGAAAGCCCCGGGCUCAACCUGGGAACUGCAAUGGAAACUGGCGGGCUUGAGUGUGGCAGAGGGGGGUGGAAUUCCGCGUGUAGCAGUGAAAUGCGUAGAGAUGCGAAGGAACACCGAUGGCGAAGGCAGCCCCCUGGGCCAACACUGACGCUCAGGCACGAAAGCGUGGGGAGCAAACAGG